UACGUAGGGUGCGAGCGUUGCCCGGAUUUAUUGGGCGUAAAGGGCGCGCAGGCGGCCCGACGCGUCCCGUGUGAAAGCUCCCGGCUCACCUGGGAGAGGUCGCGGGAAACGGUCGGGCUUGAGCAAGGUAGGGGGCCAUGGAAUUCCCGGUGUAGUGGUGGAAUGCGUAGAGAUCGGGAGGAACACCAGUGGCGAAGGCGGUGGCCUGGACCUGUGCUGACGCUGAGGCGCGAAAGCGUGGGGAGCGAUCCGG
RNAcentral lists this ribosomal RNA (253 nucleotides) under uncultured bacterium. RNAcentral's name for it is "partial 16S ribosomal RNA". It matches the Rfam family "Bacterial small subunit ribosomal RNA", at positions 524 to 776 of the family's 1533-position model. The record is from RNAcentral.